AUUGAACGCUGGCGGCAUGCCUUACACAUGCAAGUCGAACGGUAACAGGUCUUCGGAUGCUGACGAGUGGCGAACGGGUGAGUAAUACAUCGGAACGUGCCCGAUCGUGGGGGAUAACGAGGCGAAAGCUUUGCUAAUACCGCAUACGAUCUACGGAUGAAAGCGGGGGAUCUUCGGACCUCGCGCGGACGGAGCGGCCGAUGGCAGAUUAGGUAGUUGGUGGGAUAAAAGCUUACCAAGCCGACGAUCUGUAGCUGGUCUGAGAGGAUGAUCAGCCACACUGGGACUGGGACACGGCCCAGACUCCUACGGGAGGCAGCAGUGGGGAAAUUUGGACAAUGGGCGAAAGCCUGAUCCAGCCAUGCCGCGUGCAGGAUGAAGGCCUUCGGGUUGUAAACUGCUUUUGUACGGAACGAAAAGCCUCUUUCUAAUAAAGAGGGGUCAUGACGGUACCGUAAGAAUAAGCACCGGCUAACUACGUG
RNAcentral lists this ribosomal RNA (482 nucleotides) under uncultured bacterium. Its description in RNAcentral is "partial 16S ribosomal RNA". It matches the Rfam family "Bacterial small subunit ribosomal RNA", at positions 30 to 507 of the family's 1533-position model. The record is from RNAcentral.